UUUUUGUACUCUCCGUUUACAACUGAGGUAAUUAAGCUGCCCCAUUUAGGGGAACCUCCCACAUUUCUGGUGGCGACGUUUGCCUUGAACGCAACCUCUCCAAAAUGUACCAUCUUCCUUUUGUGGAGUAAAUAUGGGAAAAUUUAUAUAAAGUUAUGUUCUGCGGGUGAUUGUUCAUGGAAGACUUUUGAGUUCGAUGGUUUUGAUUGGCCUAAUCCUGCUGUUGAUGCUGCCUACGCCAACGGAGUUUUCUAUUGUGUUUUUAGAGGAGGUCAAUUGGGUGCCUUCGAUGUGGAACACACAGAGUGGACUAUUCUGGUUGAUCAUCGACUCCCAAGCUUUAAUUUCCCCUUU
Hibiscus syriacus is the source of this 354-nucleotide long non-coding RNA. RefSeq lists it as uncharacterized. The transcript has 3 exons. The record is from RefSeq and is a predicted model, not a curated record. NCBI's taxonomy places the organism in Eukaryota, Viridiplantae, Streptophyta, Magnoliopsida, Malvales, Malvaceae.